UGUGCCCUGUUAAUACAGACUGUUAGAAUAUGAUGUAGGUACUGAUAUAUUGUAUAAAUUUACAGGUACAGGGGACAAUAAAAACUGAUAUACAUGAUUCUACUGAUAUAUUCACAGGUACAGGGGACAAUAAAAACUGAUAUACAUACAAACUGCAGAAUAGGUAUGGCCUAAAGUUUCAUGAUAUAAAUUUACAGGUACAGGGGACAAUAAAAACUGAUAUACAUGAUUCUACUGAUAUAUUCACAGGUACAGGGGACAAUAAAAACUGAUAUACAUACAAACUGUACAUGAUUCUACUGAUAUAUUCACAGGUACAGGGGACAAUAAAAACUGAUAUACAUACAAACUGCAGAAUAGAGACAAUGUUGCGUACUAACCUGCAAAUUUAUUUAGAAGUAAAAACACAUACCUCUUCAUCGUCAUGGUUUUUGAAGGUGGAUAAUUGACUCGCCAAGAUGUACAUUCCCAUGGUUGAUCGAAGGAAUAUGGAAAUCAAUCGCAAAAUGCUAUCAAUGGAUUUAAAUGUUAAACUGUUCUCGAAGGAAUAUGUAUAUGUGUAUUGUAAUAUAUAAUAAAUUGAAUCCCUUACAAUUUUGAAUCUCCCAGAGUCUUAGACUCACAAUAAUUCCAUUUUA
This is a long non-coding RNA of Ipomoea triloba (trilobed morning glory), 638 nucleotides long. RefSeq lists it as uncharacterized. NCBI's taxonomy places the organism in Eukaryota, Viridiplantae, Streptophyta, Magnoliopsida, Solanales, Convolvulaceae. The record is from RefSeq and is a predicted model, not a curated record. The transcript has 3 exons.